This 253-nucleotide ribosomal RNA is filed under the name uncultured bacterium. Its description in RNAcentral is "partial 16S ribosomal RNA". It matches the Rfam family "Bacterial small subunit ribosomal RNA", at positions 524 to 776 of the family's 1533-position model. The record is from RNAcentral.
GACAGAGGAGCCAAGCGUUGUCCGGAUUGACUGGGCGUAAAGCGCACGCAGGCGGAUGCGCGCGUGGGGUGUGAAAUCUGGCCGCUUAACGUCCAGGCGCCAUCCCAUACGGCGCGUCUGGAGUGAUGCAGAGGUCGAUGGAAUUGCCGGUGUAGUGGUGAAAUGCGUAGAGAUCGGCAGGAACACCCAGGGGGAAACCAGCCGACUGGGCAAGUGCUGACGCUGAGGUGCGAGAGCGUGGGGAGCGAACCGG